UUACAGUGUAAAUAUAAUUACUGUGACAUAGAUUUGCUUUGGUUCACUGAGCUGGCAAUGAGCAAGCUUUACAGCAUUGUAUCUUUUUGUUCUUGCUUAAAUUGCCUUUCUAGUAGGUGGUUGGAGCUAGAACCCAGACCACAGCUGCAGUCCCAAUGUGCUGUUGUAACAGUAUUAGCAUAUAAAGUAGAUAUCAUUGCAGAGUGCAGGGCUGAUUCCUACCGGCCCUAUGCGCUGUGAGUGUAGCGGGAAAGGUCCAUUUCAGUGUGCUUGGCACAGCAGGAACCUGCUGACUUGGCAGUACCUGCAGGAGACUCCGUGCUUUUCAGUGGUGGCUGCUCUACACUCCUGGAUUUUGCCGCCUUGCCAGCAGCACUGGGACCAGAACAAGCAGAGAAGUGUUUUCCAUGGAAAUCUUCUUUCCUAGAUUGAAUGACCCUUAUGCACUGUGUCUUUCCUGGUUGCACAGACAGGUCUGUACCAACAAGUGUUUCUCCUGAAGGAACCUAGAGCAUCUGGACAGGUCUGAGUGGGUCUGGUGUGGAAACGCAGUCCUGGGGAGCUCAGAUACAUGACAGUGCUUAUACAAGUAGUUAACCUAAGAAUAUUGACUACGCCUAUGCAUGUGUUUGCCCUAAUAGCACUGGUCUGAAUCCGAUAUACUUAUUGCCUCCAGAGGAGGCUGGCGGCCAUUUUGUCAGCCCAGAGCUGCUGCUGCAGCUAUGCAGCAGCUUCUUCACUGCUGGUUUCUCUCCAUGUAAACCUUCCUCCCUUACCACAUGUGCCCCCAGGCCCCUGUUUGCCACUCUUUGUCUUUUAGGGGGAAAAAGCCAAGUGUGGGAGGCUGGAUGUUGUUCCCUCUGCUGCCUGAGGGACCCUCUUGUGGCUUCCGGAAGGUUCCACAGAGCUUCCUGUCAGUGCCGUGGGACAGCCAGCGCCUCGCUUAUGACCUGUGGACGAGGGUGCUUCUGUGGCUGUCCAAAAAAAAAGGGAUAAAAAAAUGCUGGAAACAGCACAGCUGGAGAGCACGUAAUACUGCUGAAGAGAUGCAAAGAGAAGAUGCAGUUCUAUUAAGAGAUUUCAUGAGUACGCACAGCUAUGCAGGACAAAAGGACAACUUCUUCAUGAAAAGAAAUACUGUUGCUGGCUCAGACUUGGUGAGAGAAAGAGAUACGGAUACAUUGUAUAUCAGUGGAAGAAGACAUGAGAAGUGUGUGUACUGAAAGUUCUUCAGUGAUGGAUUCAGAAGAGGAGUUACCCUGUAGAAGUCAGCUCUGAAGAGAACAGAACAAACCAAGGCAUUAUUACUGUAACAGACAGAGUUAAACUCAAUUUUGCCUUUAAUUUUUUUUUGUAUUGUGGAGACUUAUUGGUUUGGAACUGCAACUGACUCAAAGACAGUGUCCUUAUACGUGACAGAAUUUGGAAAAUCAACAGAAAUGUAAUUGGGUAGUUUGGUGUGAAAACUUCACUUUUACUGAACAGAUACUUCACACUGCUGAUUUUCUGAAGGUGUUGAUUUGAGCUCCAGAAACUGUGGGUAGAGUUCAGGUGUCUUCAGCAAAAUCUGAGAUGUAGAUGUCUAAAUCCGGGGAAGUUACUGUAGAUUCACUUUACGGUCAAUUGAAGAAAAAUAGGCGCUUUCAGAGAGUGAUUCAUCUCAGCCUAAAACAGGCAGGUCAGACAAACUGCCCCCUGGAGAUGCCUGUUUAUCUCCAUUGACUGUAGAAAAGCCUACAGUGACAAACUUGCAAUUAAAUGUCUAACCUUUGGAUCUCUAAAGCUAGGUUAGAUGAAUCUCAACAUGCCUUAAUAAGGACAGGCUCUGCCAGCUGUACUGGUGUUGAGUGACACCUCCCUUGGGAGAUGUUCUGGUGGGGCUUUUUCUGGAGUGAACUGAGAAGGUACGACUGAGAAAUUCUGGGGUUCCCAAGCAGAAUGAUCCCAGUGCUGAUUUUAAACUUUUAUUUUCCUUUUAGAUUCAGUAGUAUUUGAUUUUCUUGCAAUUUGAAGUAGACAGUUGUGAUUAUUAUUAAUUUUCUUGAGUGGAAUCUUAAAAUUGAAAGUUGAUUUUAUUCUGUGCAGUGUUAAAGUGGCUAUCUACCCUUUUCAAAAGCAGAUAACUGUCUUCCGUGUGUUGUCCAAAUUUCCUUUCCCCAUCUGCUGUAUUGCAAAGUACAGAGUUACUUCCCCAUUAGCCUGGUAAGCAUACUGGGAUGUGAG
This is a long non-coding RNA of Numida meleagris (helmeted guineafowl), 2223 nucleotides long. Lineage: Eukaryota; Metazoa; Chordata; Aves; Galliformes; Numididae. The record is from Ensembl.